This 447-nucleotide ribosomal RNA is filed under the name uncultured Planctomycetota bacterium. RNAcentral describes it as "bacterial SSU rRNA". It matches the Rfam family "Bacterial small subunit ribosomal RNA", at positions 218 to 656 of the family's 1533-position model. Lineage: Bacteria; Pseudomonadati; Planctomycetota. The record is from RNAcentral.
GCUUAAGAGGGGUCAAUGUCCUAUCAGCUAGUCGGUAGGGUAAUGGCCUACCAAGGCUAAGACGGGUAGCCGGCCUGAGAGGGUGGUCGGCCACACUGGGACUGAGACACUGCCCAGACUCCUACGGGAGGCUGCAGUCGAGAAUCUUUCGCAAUGCCCGAAAGGGUGACGAAGCGACGCCGCGUGUGGGAAGAAGGCCUUCGGGUUGUAAACCACUGUCGGGAGUUAAGAAAUGUAAGGGUGUUAAUAGCAUCCUUACUUGACUAAGGCUCCGGAGGAAGCCACGGCUAACUCUGUGCCAGCAGCCGCGGUAAUACAGAGGCGGCAAGCGUUGUUCGGAAUUAUUGGGCGUAAAGAGCACGUAGGCGGCCUUGUAAGUCAGUUGUGAAAGCCUUCUGCUUAACGGAAGAACAGCAUCUGAUACUGCAAGGCUAGAGUACGGAAGGG